This 72-nucleotide transfer RNA is filed under the name bacterium. RNAcentral's name for it is "tRNA-Thr". It matches the Rfam family "tRNA". From Rfam's summary of the family: Transfer RNA (tRNA) molecules are approximately 80 nucleotides in length. Their secondary structure includes four short double-helical elements and three loops (D, anti-codon, and T loops). RNAcentral also lists the same sequence under 1 other name. The record is from RNAcentral.
GCUAGCGUAGCUCAGCGGUAGAGCUCCCGCUUUGUAAGCGGGUGGUCGUGGGUUCGACUCCCACCGCUAGCU